Molecule: RNA transcript, 5879 nt
Organism: Cynara cardunculus var. scolymus (artichoke)
Lineage: Eukaryota; Viridiplantae; Streptophyta; Magnoliopsida; Asterales; Asteraceae
Gene name: brefeldin A-inhibited guanine nucleotide-exchange protein 2-like
Exons: 14
Source: RefSeq, a predicted model, not a curated record
UAGUCUCACUAUCUACUCCGACGAUACCAUCGCCGCAACCCACCAUCAUUCACGGCGGAUCCACCACCAGGCACCAUCACCAGCUCAAAAGGACCACCAUAAUUCACAACAUUCUGUUUAGAUCUAAUCGAUAAGUCUGGGGGAUGGCUUUUUCGGAAGCCGAAUCCCGCCUCGUAAACAAGAUCCUAGUCCCAGCCCUAGAAAAAAUUAUCAAGAACAGCUCUUGGCGCAAGCACUCAAAACUCGCUCAGGAAUCCAAAUUAGUACUCGAACGCAUCACUUCCUCCGAGAAACCCUCUCCUACAUCAGAAGACAGUCAAUCAGAUGUUGAUACGUCACCACAAUCACCAGCCCCCGGCGUCCUGCAAGAUUCAGGCACCAACGAACUUUCCCUAGCCGAAUCAGAACUCAUUUUAAGCCCCAUCAUCAACGCUUGCUCUUCGGGGAAUGUCAAGAUCGCUGAACCAGCGCUGGAUUGUAUACAGAAGUUGAUUGCUCAUGGAUAUUUACGUGGCGAAGCGGACCCCAGUGGUGGUCCCGAUGCAAAAUUGUUAGCAAAAUUGAUCGACUCAGUUUGCAAGUGUCAUGAUUUUGGGGAGGAGGGAGUGGAAUUGUUGGUGUUGAAGACAAUUUUAUCGGCAGUGACGUCGGUAUCGUUGAGGAUACAUGGUGAUAGUUUGUUGCAGAUUGUCAGGACUAGCUAUGAUAUUUAUCUAGGGAGUAAGUAUGUGGUUAAUCAGACAACGGCGAAGGCGUCAUUAGUGCAGAUGCUUGUGAUUGUUUUUAGGAGGAUGGAGGCUGAUUCAUCAACGGUGCCAGUGCAGCCGAUCGUGGUGGCAGAGCUGAUGGAGCCUACGGAAAAGGGGGGAGAUGGUGAUGGAACAAUGACGGUGUUUGUUCAAGGGUUUAUUAGUAAAGUUAUUCAUGGAAUGGAUGGGGUUUUGAAUCCAGGGACUCGGGUAGGAUCAAAUGCUGGUGGUGGUGGGGUGCAUGAUGGGGCGUUUGAAACCAAGACUUCAACUGUAGAGUCAACAAAUCCUGCUGAUUUGUUAGAUUCUACGGAUAAGGAUAUGUUGGAUGCUAAGUAUUGGGAGAUUAGUAUGUAUAAGACGGCAUUGGAGGGCCGGAAAGGGGAAUUGGCAGACGAGGAGGUUGACAGGGAUGAUGAUAUAGAGGUUCAGAUUGGGAAUAAGCUGAGAAGGGAUGCGUUUUUGGUGUUUCGGGCUCUUUGUAAGCUAUCAAUGAAGACCCCUCCGAAAGAUGCAUUGGCAGACCCACAGUUGAUGCGAGGAAAGAUAGUUGCUUUGGAGUUGUUGAAGAUCUUGUUGGAGAAUGCUGGGGCUAUUUUCAGAACCAGUGAACGAUUUUUGGGAGCCAUUAAGCAGUACUUAUGCCUGUCUUUGCUAAAGAACAGUGCAUCGACCCUUAUAAUUGUAUUUCAGCUCUCUUGCUCAAUUUUCAUUAGUCUGUUGUCAAGAUUUAGAGCGGGAUUGAAGGCAGAGAUUGGAGUAUUCUUUCCUAUGAUUGUUCUCAGAGUUCUAGAGAAUGUCGCUCAACCAAAUUUUCAGCAGAAGAUGAUAGUACUGCGAUUUCUUAAAAGACUAUGUGUUGAUUCCCAGAUCUUGGUAGAUAUAUUUGUCAACUAUGACUGUGAUGUCAAUUCAUCCAACAUUUUUGAAAGAAUGGUCAAUGGGCUUCUUAAGACUGCCCAAGGGGUUUCACCUGGAGUUGCAACUACGCUUUUGCCGCCUCAGGAUAUCACCAUGAAGCUAGAAGCUAUGAAGUGCUUAGUGGCUGUUUUAAAAUCAAUGGGAGACUGGAUGAACCAUCAAUUGCGCAUUCCUGAUCCUCAUUCUGCAAAGAAAGCUGAGUUGGUUGACAACAGUCCUGAAAUUGGAAAUCCUCCCAUGGAAAAUGGGAUUGCAAAUGAUCGUGAGUCUUUUGAGGGAUCGGAUUCUCAUUCCGAAGCCUCCAGUGAAGUUUCAGAUGCUUCAACUAUUGAGCAACGCCGGGCUUACAAACUCGAACUUCAGGAAGGUAUCUCUCUUUUUAACCGUAAGCCUAAAAAGGGCAUUGAAUUCUUGAUCAAUGUGAAUAAGGUGGGGAAUUCACCUGAAGAAAUAGCAGAGUUCUUAAAAAAUGCAUCUGGUUUAAACAAGACUUUGAUAGGUGAUUAUCUUGGGGAAAGAGAAGAUCUACCACUUAAAGUAAUGCAUGCAUAUGUGGAUUCAUUUGACUUUCAUGGUAUGGAGUUUGAUGAGGCAAUUAGAGCCUUUCUACGGGGCUUUAGGUUGCCUGGUGAGGCACAAAAGAUUGAUCGCAUCAUGGAAAAGUUUGCUGAACGUUACUGCAAAUGCAAUCCAAAGGCGUUUAUCAGUGCCGACACAGCCUACGUCCUUGCCUACUCUGUGAUAAUGCUGAAUACUGAUGCUCAUAAUGCCAUGGUCAAGAAUAAGAUGUCAGCUGACGAUUUUAUAAGAAAUAAUCGUGGCAUAGAUGAUGGAAAGGACUUACCUGAGGAGUAUCUAAGAUCAUUGUUUGAGCGUAUAUCAAGACAUGAAAUUAAAAUGAAAGAAGAUGAUUUCGCCCUUCAACAGAGGCAGUCUGUAAACUCAAACAGGAUUUUGGGUUUAGACAGUAUAUUGAAUAUUGUGGUGCGUAAGAAUGCAGAAGAAAAUCAAACAAGUGAUGAUCUUAUGCGACACAUGCAAGAACAGUUUAAAGAGAAAGCACGCAAAUCGGAGUCAGUUUAUUAUGCUGCAACAGAUGUGUUUAUACUUACAUUGAUGGUAGAGGUGUGCUGGGCUCCUAUGCUAGCUGCCUUUAGUGUUCCUCUUGACCAAAGUGAUGAUGAGAUAAUAAUAGCUCAAUGUCUGGAGGGAUUUCGUUGUGCUAUCCAUGUUACUGCAGCAAUGUCCAUGAAGACUCAUCGAGAUGCUUUCUUGACAUCGCUGGCAAAGUUUACUUCCCUUCAUUCACCAGCUGAUAUAAAACAGAAGAACAUCGAAGCUAUCAAGGCAAUAGUUACAAUUGCAGAUGAAGAUGGGAACUAUCUACAGGACGCAUGGGAGCAUAUCCUGACAUGUGUUUCUCGGUUUGAACAUUUGCAUCUAUUGGGAGAGGGGGCUCCUCCAGAUGCCACAUUUUUUUCUGUUAAUCAGAAUGAAUCUGAAAAAUCAAAACAUACGAAGUCAUAUAUCCUUCCUGUUCUUAAAAGAAAGGGAGUUGGAAGGCUUCAGCAAGCAGCUGCAGCAACGAGAAGAGGUUCAUAUGAUAGUGCUGGCAUUGGUGGUAAUACUUCUGCAGGCAUUACGACGGAGCAGGUGAAUAGUUUGGUCUCUAAGUUAAACAUGCUGGAACAAGUUGGUGAAAUGAAUCGUAUAUUCAUUAGGAGUCAGAAACUUAACAGCGAGGCAAUAGUUGAUUUUGUGAAGGCACUUUGCAAGGUGUCUAUGGAGGAACUACGAUCUACAUCUGCUCCACGAGUGUUUAGCCUCACAAAAAUAGUUGAAAUUGCUCACUAUAACAUGAACCGCAUCAGGCUUGUCUGGACAGGCAUCUGGAAUGUACUCUCUGAUUUUUUUGUGACUAUAGGUUGUUCUGAAAAUCUGUCAAUUGCAAUAUUUGCAAUGGAUUCUUUACGCCAACUAUCUAUGAAGUUCUUGGAAAGGGAAGAGUUAACUAAUUACAAUUUUCAGAAUGAGUUUAUGAAGCCUUUUGUGAUUGUCAUGCGUAAAAGUAGUGCUGUGGAAAUUAGAGAGCUGAUCAUCAGAUGUGUCUCUCAAAUGGUUCUAUCUCGUGUCAAUAACGUCAAGUCAGGAUGGAAAAGCAUGUUCAUGGUCUUCACUACGGCAGCUUAUGAUGACCACAAAAAUAUUGUACUCCUCGCCUUUGAAAUGAUUGAGAAGAUAGUGCGAGACUAUUUUCCUUACAUCACUGAAACAGAAACCACCACUUUUACAGAUUGUGUAAAUUGUCUGAUUGCAUUCACCAGUAGCAGAUUCGACAAAGAUAUCAGUCUCAAUGCUAUUGAUUUCUUGCGUUUGUGUGCGGCAAAACUGGCUAAAGGAGAUUUAGGAUCCUCCUCAAUGGAUAAGGACAAAGAGGUGUCUGAAAAGAUAUCAUUGUCUCCACAUUAUGCAAAAAAAGACAGAAGAUAUGAUAAUGGAGAUUUGGCAGAUAAGGAAGACCAUUUGUACUUCUGGUUUCCAUUACUAGCUGGGUUGUCAGAACUUAGCUUUGACUCAAGGCCUGAGAUUAGGAAGAGUGCCCUUGAAACACUCUUUGAUACAUUACGAAACCAUGGUCAUCACUUCUCUCUACCUUUGUGGGAAAGGGUGUUUGAUUCUGUCCUAUUUCCAAUCUUUGAUUAUGUCCGGCAUGCUAUUGAUCCUUCUGGUGAGAACUCUUCAGAACAGGGGAUUGAUGGUGACGUGGACGAGCUUGAUCAAGACUCUUGGCUAUAUGAGACAUGCACACUUGCACUCCAGUUGGUUGUGGAUCUUUUUGUUAAUUUCUAUGACACUGUCAACCCACUUUUAAAGAAGGUUCUGAUGUUGUUAGUGAGUUUUAUCAAGCGUCCUCACCAAAGCCUUGCUGGUAUUGGAAUUGCUGCAUUUGUUCGUUUGAUGAGCAAUGCUGGGGAAUUGUUCUCUGAUGACAAGUGGCUUGAAGUGGUUUCGUCUUUGAAAGAGGCUGCGAAUGCAACACUUCCUGAUUUCUUGUUUCUUUUAAGUAGAGAUGGGCUAAUUGUGAACCAUGAGGAUGUUUCUACGAGACGAAGUGAUGGGGGUUCUGCUGAGGCUAGCAUGCGGGAUGAGGAGUUGGAGAACCUGUGGAGGGACCGUUUAUACACUGCCGUUUCUGAUGUCAAGUGUCGUGCUGCGGUCCAACUUCUAUUGAUCCAGGCAAUAAUAGAGAUUUAUAACAUGUACAGACCUCAGCUAUCAACAAAGAACACCUUAGUUGUCUUUGAUGCAGUGCAUGGGGUGGCAAGUCAUGCCCACAAGAUAAAUGCCGACACCACAUUGCGUUCUAAGCUACAGGAGCUUGGCCCAAUGACACAAAUGCAGGAUCCUCCAUUGUUACGCCUUGAAAUUGAGUCCUAUCAAACCUGCCUCACGUUUCUACAGAACCUUGCGGUGGACCGACCUCCAUCUUUUGAGGAAUCAAAAGUGGAGUCUCAACUUGUUGACCUUUGCCAAGAAGUAUUAAAAUUCUAUGUUGAAAUAGCAUGGCCUGCACGUAUGACCGGGCUAUCUCCUAACCGGGCCCACUGGUUGAUACCGUUAGGCUCUGGGAAAAAGAGAGAACUGGCUGCACGUGCGCCUGUUAUCGUUGCAACUCUACAGGCUAUAUGUAGUUUGGGAGACUCUUCAUUUGAGAAGAAUUUAUCUAGCUUUUUCCCUCUGGUUUCUAGCCUGAUAAGCUGCGAUCAUGGAUCCAGUGAGGUCCAGAUAGCCCUUAGUGAAAUGCUCAGCUCCUCGGUGGGUCCUGUUUUGCUGCGAUCAUGUUGAAUGGUUCAUAGUCAACUGAUGCUACCAAGAAUGAUGAGGGUUUAUGCAGAUUACAGGUAUGUUCCUCACUGCUAUCAAACUGUAUCUCGAUGACAGAUUUGAGUUUUUCUUGCUGAUGCUCCUCGUUUGACUUGGAUUCAGGAACCAUAUGGUGGUAUCUGAGGAAGCUACUGUGCAGUCAAUGAUUGGAAAUGGAAGGAGUGGAGUAAAGGUUUGAAUGAAUCAUUGAUUCCGGCAGUUGCGGACACCACAACUUGCUCCAUAAACCACCAAAAAAGGUAUCAACUCAAGUGAAUGCUAUUGCCGGCAGGCACUUUCCUUUAACCUUCCUCCCCCCCUAUCUCUUUCUUUAGCUACUUGCUA